GCACCCCUAGCUCAAUUGGAUAGAGCAUCGGUCUACGGAACCGAAGGUUUCAGGUUCGAAUCCUGAGGGGUGUA
This 74-nucleotide transfer RNA is filed under the name Planctomycetaceae bacterium. Its description in RNAcentral is "tRNA-Arg". It matches the Rfam family "tRNA". Rfam says of the family: Transfer RNA (tRNA) molecules are approximately 80 nucleotides in length. Their secondary structure includes four short double-helical elements and three loops (D, anti-codon, and T loops). RNAcentral also lists the same sequence under 2 other names. Lineage: Bacteria; Pseudomonadati; Planctomycetota; Planctomycetia; Planctomycetales; Planctomycetaceae. The record is from RNAcentral.